GACGAACGCUGGCGGCGUGCUUAACACAUGCAAGUCGAACGGAAAGGCCCUGCUUUUGUGGGGUGCUCGAGUGGCGAACGGGUGAGUAACACGUGAGUAACCUGCCCUUGACUUUGGGAUAACUUCAGGAAACUGGGGCUAAUACCGGAUAGGAGCUCCUGCUGCAUGGUGGGGGUUGGAAAGUUUCGGCGGUUGGGGAUGGACUCGCGGCUUAUCAGCUUGUUGGUGGGGUAGUGGCGUACCAAGGCUUUGACGGGUAGCCGGCCUGAGAGGGUGACCGGCCACAUUGGGACUGAGAUACGGCCCAGACUCCUACGGGAGGCAGCAGUGGAGAAUAUUGCACAAUGGGCGGAAGCCUGAUGCAGCAACGCCGCGUGCGGGAUGACGGCCUUCGGGUUGUAAACCGCUUUCGCCUGUGACGAAGCGUGAGUGACGGUAAUGGGUAAAGAAGCACCGGCUAACUACGUG
Molecule: ribosomal RNA, 468 nt
Filed under: uncultured bacterium
Lineage: Bacteria
Description: partial 16S ribosomal RNA
Rfam family: Bacterial small subunit ribosomal RNA
Source: RNAcentral